Molecule: ribosomal RNA, 517 nt
Filed under: uncultured bacterium
Lineage: Bacteria
Description: partial 16S ribosomal RNA
Rfam family: Bacterial small subunit ribosomal RNA
Source: RNAcentral
AACGAACGCUGGCGGCGUGGAUAAGACAUGCAAGUCGAACGGGAUUUUGUUCUGUAGCAAUACAGGAAAAAGUCUAGUGGCGAACGGGUGCGUAACACGUGAGCAACCUGCCGUGAAGUGGGGGAUAGCUCGCCGAAAGGCGAAUUAAUACCGCAUGUGGCCAAGGAAGACAUCUCCCUGACGCCAAAGCCGGGGCAACCUGGCGCUUCUCGAGGGGCUCGCGGCCUAUCAGCUUGUUGGUGAGGUAACGGCUCACCAAGGCUAUGACGGGUAGCUGGUCUGAGAGGACGACCAGCCAAACUGGAACUGAGACACGGUCCAGACACCUACGGGUGGCAGCAGUCGAGAAUUUUUCACAAUGGGGGAAACCCUGAUGGAGCGACGCCGCGUGGAGGAUGAAGGUUUUCGGAUUGUAAACUCCUGUCAUUAGAGAACAAGGCACACGGUUUAACUGGCCGUGUGUUGAUAGUAUCUGAAGAGGAAGAGACGGCUAACUCUGUGCCAGCAGCCGCUGUAA